UACGUAUGGUGCAAGCGUUAUCCGGAUUUACUGGGUGUAAAGGGAGCGUAGGCGGCGCGUUAAGUCUGAUGUGAAAGCCCGAGGCUCAACCACGGGAGUGCAUUGGAAACUGGCGAGCUGGAGUGCCGGAGAGGUAAGCGGAAUUCCUAGUGUAGCGGUGAAAUGCGUAGAUAUUAGGAGGAACACCAGUGGCGAAGGCGGCUUACUGGACGGCAACUGACGCUGAGGCUCGAAAGCGUGGGGAGCAAACAGG
Molecule: ribosomal RNA, 253 nt
Filed under: uncultured bacterium
Lineage: Bacteria
Description: partial 16S ribosomal RNA
Rfam family: Bacterial small subunit ribosomal RNA
Source: RNAcentral